RNAcentral lists this long non-coding RNA (541 nucleotides) under Nicotiana benthamiana. RNAcentral describes it as "long non-coding RNA (NBEN_LNC022520)". The record is from RNAcentral. Lineage: Eukaryota; Viridiplantae; Streptophyta; Magnoliopsida; Solanales; Solanaceae.
CUUCAUGAAAGAAACACUUUUUACAGGUUUGCAAAGAAAUGAGUAAAUUAGGGAGCAAAUCAUUAAAGAUGAAAAGAUAGGGUGCAGAUUAAAAAUGAAAGUUACAUUAGGGGUGUAAAACACAAAGUGAGAAUCAUAUAUAUAUAUUUCAAACCUUGUAAAAUUAUAGGAUACUCUUUCAUACCUAGUUGUAGCUUGUUUUCCUAACCAUCAGCGACUUGGUUAGCCUCCCUAAAGCAGUGUAAUGAUGAUCGAACCCAUCUCGAUGAGUUCAUGAAAUCACUUGCCUCUCGUCCAAAUGCCCUACAUUGGAUUAGAGGCAGGUGAUUUCCACGAACUCAUCGAUCAAGUUCAUCAGGAAUCCAAUAAUUUUUGUAUGUUGUAUGUUUACAAAAUCAAAUAUAUGCACUAAGUAAGGCACAUAGCCACAAUUUGGACCUCUUGUCCGUUCAUUCACCAUGCUAUUUGUAAAGGGUAAUAGUAGAUAUAUAUAAUUGUACUUAGUCUAAGGUAUCUUUAGACUGGGAUUUUAAGCCAUGAA